GAUGAGAACCUGAGGCAGAGUUAACUGACUCGCCCAGGGACACCCGGCUGGCGAGAAUCUGAUGUCGGGAUUUGAACUCGUCUUCCUGGCUUCAGAACCAACGCCACUGCACCACCUAGCUGCUCAAUUCUGGGCUAACCGAAUCGCUCGGGACUGGGGUAUUCAACAUGUCCCUCCCUGCUCCGCAUAAUCUGCUCUUUGGAUCAGCAUGCCUCACCCUUCCCCCUGCUCUCCCCCCACGCCUUCAUUUUAGAGGCAGAGAUAAAAAGGUACUAACAGAGUCGAGGGAACAGACUGGCAAACCAGGAGAUGAAGGGUUACAUUCAGAAAAGGGAGAGUUGCCACCCUCUAACUGCUGACUGGCUCGUUGGUACCAGAUGGAAGGUAAAACACCCCAAAGGGCUGGGCUUGGAGCAGUUCACUUUAAAUUAAGGAACAUGCCAAGGAAGUUGUGCCUAUUUAGACCGACUGAUCAUAAUUCAUAAUUAUCAGCAUAGCUCAGUGCUAUGGGGCACUUUAAGCUCAGGAAGGGAAGACUACACAAAGAAAUUGGGAGCAAGAAUCUCAGGGAGAUCUUGCCAUUUAACUGUUUGUGUGCCUCAGAUUAACAUUCCCCAAAUAACCGAAAAGGGACACUGCAAGUGGAUGUAAUUUGGAACAAAACCUGCUGAGUCGGGAAGCGACUGCACCCCUUUACUCCCCCAUGAUAGCCCCCUAGGCAGAGAAGGCUGAGAGACUAAGGGGGAGGGAUGUGCCUUGGAUCCAGUUCCCAGCAUGACUUUCACCUUUACCAGCUGCCAGGGGGUACACUCUGCAUCAACCCCAGGGCACAGCAAAAGCAUUCACCAGGGCCAUUUUUGCUAGUUGGUGGAUUGAGUGCCUCAUCCUUUCCCUAAGGGAAGGGGAGGGCUUUUCUCUGGGGAUAGCUCACACUUCCUCAGCCACCUAGCCACAGCAGAAACAACCAUUCUUGCCAUGUGCCAGGUAACCCCCAGAGAAUUCCCGUUUUAUGCCAAGGAAGUGGGCCCAGGAGCACAGGGUAAAACGAACUUUCCACCAAAUGAGUCACUGUAUGGAGGCACAUUGGAAUGAGACUCAAAUAAAAUGGCUUUUAGGUGGCCAAGACCUAUACGGCUAAGUGGAGGUGGUGGGAAUUUAGGCUCUUAAUGAACACUAUUAUAUGGCUCAUCCUCUUCUUUAGGUAGGACUACCGGGUCCAGAUAUCAAAGCUUCACAGAUUUAGAAGCAGAAGGAACCCACGGAAGUCAGCGAGCCCAACCCUUUCGUUUUCUAGCUGAGGGGGCUUGGGAGGGGAAUUGGGUGCUCCCAGAAGGGGCUCUGAGUCUUGUGCUGGUGGGGACUCCCAGUGGCUCUCCACUUCCGAGACCAGGAUUAGAGAGGGAGGGACAAAUUCGUACUUCUGCUGCAGUGAGCCCGACUUUUCGGGAGCCCUGCGUUGGGCUGCAAGGACGGGAGUGGCCAGAAGAUGGGGGCCUUGCACUGCGGUCUCGCACACUGGUCCCGUCUGGGUGGGGUCGGGCUGAUUGGCUGGCCCGAGAUGAAGGCUUCCUGGUGGAAUCCAGGCUGUUCAGAACUGACCCUCGUCGUAACCUGGGACCUGAGAAGGGGGCAAGAGUUUAGGGGUGGAGAGCACAUACCCAGACUGAGUCCCCCUCAACUUCCUUUCUACCUACCUUUUUCCCUUCCCUUUUUCUCUCUUGUCCUAUAAUCUCUGUCCUCUUCCCAGUUUCUUUCUUGCCCUUUCUCUUCUUUUCAAAUUUCUCUCCCCUCUCACCUGGUGGUCUGGGAAUUAGAAAAAACUGAGAUUUUAUUUCUGUCAAAAAAAAAAAAAAAAAAAAAAA
Sarcophilus harrisii (Tasmanian devil) is the source of this 1862-nucleotide RNA transcript. RefSeq lists it as uncharacterized. NCBI's taxonomy places the organism in Eukaryota, Metazoa, Chordata, Mammalia, Dasyuromorphia, Dasyuridae. The transcript is spliced from 2 exons. The record is from RefSeq and is a predicted model, not a curated record.